UGGGGAAUUUUGGACAAUGGGCGCAAGCCUGAUCCAGCCAUGCCGCGUGCGGGAAGAAGGCCUUCGGGUUGUAAACCGCUUUUGUCAGGGAAGAAAUCUUCUGAGUUAAUACCUCGGGAGGAUGACGGUACCUGAAGAAUAAGCACCGGCUAACUACGUGCCAGCAGCCGCGGUAAUACGUAGGGUGCAAGCGUUAAUCGGAAUUACUGGGCGUAAAGCGUGCGCAGGCGGUUUUGUAAGACAGAGGUGAAAUCCCCGGGCUCAACCUGGGAACUGCCUUUGUGACUGCAAGGCUUGAGUGCGGCAGAGGGGGGAUGGAAUUCCGCGUGUAGCAGUGAAAUGCGUAGAUAUGCGGAGGAACACCGAUGGCGAAGGCAAUCCCCUGGGCCUGCACUGACGCUCAUGCACGAAAAGCGUGGGGAGCAAAACAGGAUUAGAUACCCCUGGUAGUCCACGCCCUAAAACGAUGUCAACU
RNAcentral lists this ribosomal RNA (475 nucleotides) under uncultured bacterium. Its description in RNAcentral is "partial 16S ribosomal RNA". It matches the Rfam family "Bacterial small subunit ribosomal RNA", at positions 355 to 817 of the family's 1533-position model. The record is from RNAcentral.